UAGCAGAAGUGUGGUUGCGGCAAGAGCAUUCGAGAAAAAUCUUCUGAGAGAGCCACGCUUCUCUCCAUUUCGCGGGUGUAAAUGUGUGUAUUUCAACCGUCGAUGUGUUCACAUGACCGUAAAGCGAAAUCGCAUAAAAGAAGUGAGAUGACACAUAAGAGUACACGAAGAGAAAAUAUUGCAAAUAUAUAAAUCGAGCAAGCUUAUUUUUGAGACGAGUCUUUUCCACGAUAGGACGCUUUAACGUACGGACGCUGAAUUGCUAAAUUAAAAUUGGAUAAUUAUAGCCGUUGCCGAUUUUACGGAGAAUUUAUUUUUUAUGCACGUCCGGUUUUAGUAUGGUAUUAUAAUAUAAUUAAUGAACGUGCACAUGCACGGUCAACGGUAGCUCAUUAAUUGGCCUUUCUGCUUUUCAAGCCUUCAUAGCCUUUUCGGAUUUUUUAUCCUGUGUGCUUGUGUAAUUGUUUUUACUUUAAUUUCUUAUUUUUUAUAUUUGCAAAAUUAUGAAGAGUCAUAUGUGUCAAAGUACAAAUAAAUACAAAGACGCGAUAACCUUCUCUAAAAAGUUCCCAUGAUAUUAAACACAUGAAAUUCUCACUAAUGAAAAGAAAUACAAACAUUUAAAUCGAAUAUACCGAAAAGUAGUUCUUUGAUCACAAUGGAGCCAGGCGAACUCGAUAGCGCCGACGCACCGGACAGAAUAGUCGAGACUUUCGCUGGUCGUAAGAUAAUGCUGACAGGUGGCACGGGAUUUUUAGGAAAAGUGAUUCUCGAGAAAUUUCUGCGAUGCCUGCCCGAAAUAGCGCAAAUUUACAUGCUCAUCAGAUUGAAGAAGGGCAAGGAUCCUAAACAACGGUUGCUCGAGAUACUCAAUUCUCCGGUAAGCUAUAGUUAGUCCGACAGCUUUAGUUAGAUGACAAGGUUGUCAUCUUGUCUCUUUGCACUUUCUAAAACACGCGAAAUGCGCGAUAAAAAAAUUUCUACUAAAUAAUUGUACGGCAAAAUAUGAGAAACGUCGCGCGCAUGUGUGUGUAGGGUAUAUCAUACACUAUUCCGAAAGAAUCGUUUUUUACUUUUUUUUUUGCGAAGGCUCUUUUCGCGCAUCCGCGGAAUUCGGUGGUUGCGUUGCCGCCAUCAGACUUCCACCACGGGAAGAGUAUCCGCUUUGGUCCCUCAAUAAGAGCAUCAAAAAGAGAAAGUGUGUGACUAUGACUCUGCUACUGUACGCACUGCAAGUUGCAUCAUUGUUGCCUUACAACAGAUGGAUAAUAUGAGGUGCCUCUCUUUCUCCUCGUGCGCGCGCGCGCGUUUUUGAUAUUUCUUCGGCAGACAAAUUUGCCGGUGAAAGCGCGCUAACCGGAUCGUCGCCGUCGAUCACAUUGAAAUCCACGUCGCUCUACGUGACGAAAGAAACCAAGUCAAGGCCUUGUCGAAAAUAUAGCGAGAAGAUGGUGAUUAUAUUCAUACACACCGCGCUCUUACCGGUUUUGGUGAAAGUAUACGGCGGAUUGCGCGUUUCGCGCGCGUUAUAUCAUGCCUUUCGAAUUUUAACGCAACACCGUAAACAUGCUACGUCAUACAUAAACGUGCGCACGUAAGAUGCCUAAAUGGGCGUCAUUAGAAUUACGAUUUUCUUUUAUAUCUAUUUUU
Molecule: RNA transcript, 1650 nt
Organism: Formica exsecta
Lineage: Eukaryota; Metazoa; Arthropoda; Insecta; Hymenoptera; Formicidae
Gene name: putative fatty acyl-CoA reductase CG5065
Exons: 2
Source: RefSeq, a predicted model, not a curated record